AUGAUGCAGUUUAUAAUUCCUCCGACCGUCAAGAUCAUGGCAGAGUCGCUGCUUCUCGCUCUGUUACGUGGUGUGGCCGGUAAGGCCACAGACACACUAGUCGAGACUAUGACCCGCAUGUGUGGCCUCAAGGACGACCGCCAAACUCUCGAGCGGCUUCUACUAGCCGUUGAGUGCAAGUUGGCCAAUGCCGAGGAGAGGAGCGAGACAAAUGGCUAUGUGAAGAGCUGGAUGAAGGAGCUCAAGUCCGUCGCCUACGAGGCGGACGACGUGCUCGACGAUUUCCAAUAUGAGGCGCUCCGCCGACAGUCAAAGAUUGGCAAGUCCACUACCCAAAAGGUACUCAGCUACGUCACCCGCCGCAGCCCGCUGCUCUUCCGUUUUGAAAUGAGCAGGAAACUCAAGAACGUCCUCAAGAAGAUCAAUAAGUUGGUUAAGGAGAUGAACACAUUUGGCUUGGAGAGUUCUGUCCCUAGGGAGGAGCGGCAACAUCCAUGGCGGCAGACGCACUCAAAACUAGAAGAGACUACCCAGAUCUUUGGAAGAGAUGAUGAUAAGGAGGUGGUGGUGAAGUUCCUGCUGGACCAGCAGGAUCAACGGAGGGUGCAUGUGCUGCCGAUCAUUGGGAUGGGAGGUCUUGGCAAGACGACUCUUGCUAAGAUGGUCUAUAAUGACCAAGGGGUCCAGCAACAUUUCCAGUUGAAGAUGUGGCACUGCGUGUCCGACAACUUUGAUGUCAUGGCUCUUUUGAAAUCCAUCAUUGAGUUGGCCGUAAGUGGAAGAUGUGACAUGCCUAACACGAUUGAGCUGUUGCAAAAGAAACUUGAGCAAGUCAUUGACCAAAGAAGGUUUAUUCUCGUGCUUGAUGAUGUGUGGAAUGAAGAUGAGAGGAAGUGGGAGGAUGUCCUGAAGCCUCUUUUGUGUUCUGUUGGUGGACCGGGAAGUGUAAUAGUCGUGACAACUCGAAGCCAGAAAGUAGCCUCUAUAAUGCAGACCCUUGGACCACAUAAGCUAGCAUGUCUGAGUGAACAAGAUUCAUGGGAAUUAUUUGCGCAAAAAGCAUAUAGAAACAGUGUAGAGCAGGACCAAUCAGAGUUGGUCAGCAUUGGCAGACGUAUUGUCAACAAAUGCUGGGGGCUGCCUCUUGCUCUCAAGACAAUGGGUGGAUUGCUAAGUUCAUAUCAACAAGUACAAGAAUGGAAGGCCAUCGAAGAAAGUAAUAUUAGGGAUAAUGCUAGAGGGAAAGAUGAGAUCAUGUCCAUCCUUAAGUUGAGCUACACACACCUAUCAUCUGAAAUGAAGCAAUGUUUUGCAUUCUUAGCAGUUUUUCCCAAGGACUAUCAGAUGGACAAGCACAAUUUGAUCCAACUAUGGAUAGCAAAUGGUUUUAUUCAAGAGAAGGGAACAAUGGAUUUGACACUAACAGGAGAAUUCAUUUUCAAUGAGUUUGUUUGGAGGUCCUUCCUCCAGGAUCAAAAUGUAGUAGUGAAAUAUGAUUACAUGGUUGAUAAACCAAUGUAUGAGAUGAUAGUAUGUAAAAUGCAUGACUUAAUGCAUGAUCUAGCAAAAGAUGUCACAGAUGAAUGUGCAAGUGUAGAAGCACUGACUCCGCAGAAAGCAUCGUUAAAAUAUGUUUGUCACCUGAAAAUGCCAGAGGCUGAAUUGGAAAAGAUGAGUGGAUUAUGCAAAGGCAGAACAUACCUCCGCACUUUGUUAGCUCCUUCAAAAUUACACAAGGAUUUUAAAGAGUUGGUACAUGUAUCGACAUCACUGAGAGCACUGCAUUGCUAUCAUUAUCCAAUUUCCAUUUGCAAGGCCAUAAAUGCAAAAAGAUUACGAUAUCUUGACCUCUCUUACUCUGACAUUGCUAAGUUGCCAGAUUCAAUAUGUGUGUUGUAUAACUUGCAAACAUUGAGGCUCAUAGGUUGCCGAAAGCUGCAGCAGUUACCAAGAGACAUGGCAAGACUGAGAAAUCUCAUCCACCUUUAUCUUUAUGGUUGUUAUCAUCUCAAAAGUAUGUCUCCGAACUUUGGUCUACUGAACAACCUUCACAUAUUAACAACAUUUGUUGUGGAUACUAAGGAUGGCCUUGGAAUAGAGCAACUCAAAGGCUUGCAACACCUUAGCAAUAGAUUGGAGCUAUUGAAUUUGAACAAGAUAAAGAGUGGGGGGAAUGCAAAAGAAGCCAAUCUCAGUCAGAAGCAAAAUCUAAGUGAGUUAUUUAUUAUUCUCUUGGGGCAAAGAAAUAGAUAA
Molecule: ribosomal RNA, 2253 nt
Filed under: Triticum aestivum (bread wheat)
Lineage: Eukaryota; Viridiplantae; Streptophyta; Magnoliopsida; Poales; Poaceae
Description: partial small subunit ribosomal RNA
Source: RNAcentral